GCAUAUCAAUAAGCGGAGGAAAAGAAACCAACAGGGAUUGCCCUAGUAACGGCGAGUGAAGCGGCAACAGCUCAAAUUUGAAAUCUGGCUUCGGCCCGAGUUGUAAUUUGUAGAGGAUGCUUUGGGCGCGGCUCUAACUGAGUUCCCUGGAACGGGACGCCACAGAGGGUGAGAGCCCCGUAUAGUUAGAUGCCUAGCCUAUGUAAAGCUCCUUCGACGAGUCGAGUAGUUUGGGAAUGCUGCUCUAAAUGGGAGGUAAAUUUCUUCUAAAGCUAAAUAUUGGCCAGAGACCGAUAGCGCACAAGUAGAGUGAUCGAAAGAUGAAAAGCACUUUGAAAAGAGGGUUAAAUAGCACGUGAAAUUGUUGAAAGGGAAGCGCUUGUGACCAGACUUGCGCCGGGCAGAUCAUCCGGUGUUCUCACCGGUGCACUCUGCCCGGCUCAGGCCAGCAUCGGUUCUCGUGGGGGGAUAAAGGUCCCGGGAACGUAGCUCCUCCGGGAGUGUUAUAGCCCGGGGCGUAAUGCCCUCGUGGGGACCGAGGUUCGCGCAUCUGCAAGGAUGCUGGCGUAAUGGUCAUCAGCGACCCGUCUUGAAACACGGACCAAGGAGUCAAGGUUUUGCGCGAGUGUUUGGGUGUAAAACCCGCACGCGUAAUGAAAGUGAACGUAGGUGAGAGCUUCGGCGCAUCAUCGACCGAUCCUGAUGUAUUCGGAUGGAUUUGAGUAAGAGCGUUAAGCCUUGGACCCGAAAGAUGGUGAACUAUGCUUGGAUAGGGUGAAGCCAGAGGAAACUCUGGUGGAGGCUCGCAGCGGUUCUGACGUGCAAAUCGAUCGUCAAAUCUGAGCAUGGGGGCGAAAGACUAAUCGA
RNAcentral lists this ribosomal RNA (867 nucleotides) under Trichocladium asperum. Its description in RNAcentral is "eukaryotic LSU rRNA". It matches the Rfam family "Eukaryotic large subunit ribosomal RNA", at positions 38 to 938 of the family's 3401-position model. Lineage: Eukaryota; Fungi; Ascomycota; Sordariomycetes; Sordariales; Chaetomiaceae. The record is from RNAcentral.